AGGGUAAACGCUGGCGGCGUGCCUAAAACAUGCAAGUCGAACGCACAUCUUUCGGGGUGUGAGUGGCAGACGGCUGAGUAACGCGUGGGUGACGUACCUAUUGGUGGGGAAUAACUGCCCGAAAGGGUGGCUAAUACCGCAUACGCCCGUUGGAGCAGUCCGAUGGGGGAAAGCUUCGCGAGAGGCGCUGAUGGAGCGGCCCGCGUCCGAUUAGCUAGUUGGUGGGGUAACGGCCUACCAAGGCGACGAUCAGUAGCUGGUCUCAGAGGAUGAUCAGCCAGACUGGGACUGAGACACGGCCCAGACUCCUACGGGAGGCAGCAGUUAGGAAUUUUUGGGCAAUGGGCGCAAGCCUGACCCAGCAACGCCGCGUGGGUGAAGAAGGCCUUCGGGUUGUAAAGCCUUUCUGAGGGAGAUGAUGACGGUACCUCAGGAAGAAGCACCGGCUAACUACGUGCCAGCAGCCGC
RNAcentral lists this ribosomal RNA (468 nucleotides) under uncultured bacterium. Its description in RNAcentral is "SSU rRNA". It matches the Rfam family "Bacterial small subunit ribosomal RNA", at positions 26 to 518 of the family's 1533-position model. The record is from RNAcentral.